GUAUCUACAUUCUGAAAAUAAUUACUUAUUCUACAUAGCCUCACUCCUAACUGUGCAGCAUCCUCGCAAACACUCAAUUGAUACCUAUCUAAAAAUUAUCUAACAAAACUCUACAAAAAUUGCAAUCCCUCUGGCCUAUCUAAUUAAUCAAUUGCUGCAGUAUCUGUUAUUGAUUCCACCGAUUCCGAUUCCAAUUGUAAAUCUUCAUCCUCCUCCAAUCCUUCCAUCGGCUCCUGCCUCAACUGAGCUGAAAGGUCUUCAUUGUACUCACCCAGUUUACGGACUUCAACUUCCAAUUUUAGGAUUUGGGCAUCUCUCAAU
RNAcentral lists this long non-coding RNA (321 nucleotides) under Physcomitrium patens. RNAcentral describes it as "long non-coding RNA (PPAT_LNC011571)". The record is from RNAcentral. Lineage: Eukaryota; Viridiplantae; Streptophyta; Bryopsida; Funariales; Funariaceae.